RNAcentral lists this ribosomal RNA (420 nucleotides) under uncultured bacterium. RNAcentral's name for it is "bacterial SSU rRNA". It matches the Rfam family "Bacterial small subunit ribosomal RNA", at positions 355 to 774 of the family's 1533-position model. The record is from RNAcentral.
UAAGGAAUAUUGGUCAAUGGACGCAAGUCUGAACCAGCCAUGCCGCGUGAAGGAUGAAGGUCCUCUGGAUUGUAAACUUCUUUUAUCUGGGACGAAAACGGGAUUUUUAUCUCAAUUGACGGUACCAGAGGAAUAAGCACCGGCUAACUCCGUGCCAGCAGCCGCGGUAAUACGGAGGGUGCGAGCGUUAUCCGGAUUUACUGGGUUUAAAGGGUGCGUAGGUGGCUUAUAAGUCAGUGGUGAAAUCUCCGAGCUUAACUUGGAAACUGCCGUUGAUACUAUAGGUAUUGAAUUAUCUGGAGGUAAGCGGAAUAUGUCAUGUAGCGGUGAAAUGCUUAGAUAUGACAUAGAACACCAAUUGCGAAGGCAGCUUACUACAUAUAAAUUGACGCUGAGGCACGAAAGCGUGGGGAUCAAACA